CCUACGGGCGGCUGCAGUGGGGAAUAUUGGGCAAUGGGCGCAAGCCUGACCCAGCAACGCCGCGUGAAGGAAGAAGGCUUUCGGGUUGUAAACUUCUUUUGACAGGGAAGAGCAGAAGACGGUACCUGUCGAAUAAGCCACGGCUAACUACGUGCCAGCAGCCGCGGUAAUACGUAGGUGGCAAGCGUUGUCCGGAUUUACUGGGUGUAAAGGGCGUGUAGCCGGGCUGACAAGUCAGAUGUGAAAUCCGGGGGCUCAACCCCCGAACUGCAUUUGAAACUGUUGGUCUUGAGUAUCGGAGAGGCAGGCGGAAUUCCGAGUGUAGCGGUGAAAUGCGGAGAUAUUAGGAGGAACACCAGUGGCGAAGGCAGCCUGCUGGACGACAACUGACGGUGAGGCGCGAAAGCGUGGGGAGCAAACAGGAUUAGAUACCCUAGUAGUC
This 442-nucleotide ribosomal RNA is filed under the name uncultured bacterium. RNAcentral describes it as "partial 16S ribosomal RNA". It matches the Rfam family "Bacterial small subunit ribosomal RNA", at positions 338 to 795 of the family's 1533-position model. The record is from RNAcentral.